This 483-nucleotide unclassified non-coding RNA is filed under the name Artemisia martirensis. RNAcentral describes it as "partial external transcribed spacer". The stretch from base 430 to 483 matches the Rfam family "Eukaryotic small subunit ribosomal RNA", at positions 1 to 54 of the family's 1831-position model. Lineage: Eukaryota; Viridiplantae; Streptophyta; Magnoliopsida; Asterales; Asteraceae. The record is from RNAcentral.
UCCGUAAAGGUGGAUGAGUGGUGUUUGGUUUGUUACGUGUGGUUGGCUGCGGCGUUUGCAACAACUUCCAUGCUUUCAGACCUCUUCAUUUGUGCGGCAAGGCUUGUAUCGCCUUGAGCGUAUUGUGGGUUUUCUGUGUUGAAUACCUAAUCAAUGGUAUCGGUUGGAUUGAUCAAUGUUUCAUUUCGUCUGUYGUCGCAUUYGCGGCRUGAGAUGAACCUUGAUGYGGUCUCUUUGAUCCACCUCGUUGAAGCGCAUGCUUUGACGUUGUGGYGCAUUGAGCAUUGCUUGGUCUCUUGUAUGCGGAACAUGUAGUGGGCAUGAAUCUCACGAUUCUYGUUUGCCCUCAUAUUAGCGUAACGCUUCUCUUACACGACUUGCUCCACGUUUUAGCUCGUACGGACGUGGUGCUAUGUCGAAGAGGAAUGCUACCUGGUUGAUCCUGCCAGUAGUCAUAUGCUUGUCUCAAAGAUUAAGCCAUGC